AUAGUCUGCCCAUGUCUAUUUAGA
RNAcentral lists this non-coding RNA (24 nucleotides) under Arabidopsis thaliana (thale cress). Lineage: Eukaryota; Viridiplantae; Streptophyta; Magnoliopsida; Brassicales; Brassicaceae. The record is from RNAcentral.